This 253-nucleotide ribosomal RNA is filed under the name uncultured bacterium. RNAcentral's name for it is "partial 16S ribosomal RNA". It matches the Rfam family "Bacterial small subunit ribosomal RNA", at positions 524 to 776 of the family's 1533-position model. The record is from RNAcentral.
UACAGAGGUCCCAAGCGUUGUUCGGAUUCACUGGGCGUAAAGGGUGCGUAGGUGGUGGGGUAAGUCGGAUGUGAAAGCUCGGAGCUCAACUCCGAAAUGGCAUUGGAAACUACCCUGCUAGAGGAUUGGAGGGGGGACUGGAAUACUUGGUGUAGCAGUGAAAUGCGUAGAUAUCAAGUGGAACACCGGUGGCGAAGGCGGCAUCCUGGACCGGCAUUGACGCUGAGGCGCGAAAGCCAGGGGAGCAAACGGG